This 964-nucleotide long non-coding RNA is filed under the name Marmota monax (woodchuck). The record is from RNAcentral. Lineage: Eukaryota; Metazoa; Chordata; Mammalia; Rodentia; Sciuridae.
GAAUCAUGUGCCAGACUUGAACAGAAACAUCGUAGCACAGGAGCAAACAUUGCUGAGAUGGUUUGGGGAGAGGUUCCUAUUCUGAGGAUGGGUUGGGCACUUUGGGAGGGCUUGAAGGACAGGACAGGGUGGUGCAGAAACACAAUGAAAAACAAAACAAAGCAAAACUGUGCAACAUAGCAUUUCAUAUCAUGAGCUGCAACUUCAUAAGUUUUCCGACCAGAGACCAGGAGUAGAAGUCAGCCCUCCCCUGUGAAGCAGAAGCCCCCAUUUGAAGGGAGCAAGAGGCAGUCCCAAGCAGAAGGCCACAAAGGGUUGGUAUCUGAAGAAAAGGACCUGCCCCUUUCUGUGACAAGGAUCCUCUGGAAAGGCAUUUGUGAUAAACACGGCUGUGUUUCUGCAAUCUGGCUUUUAUCCCUUCAAAGGUUCCUGAGCUAGAGGCAAUUAACAGAGCUGGGGAAGCCAAGAAAGUGCACUGUGAAUAUAAACAGGUUGACAGGACAUUUAUACAGCAGCAUUGAGCAGAGUCCCUGAUCCCCAGGGUGGCGCAGGUCACUGGGAGAGUUUGAGACUGAGAGAUGCCUUCUUUUGUCUUACCACUGGGAUGAGUUUCCUCCACCAGGCAUGAAGGAUCCUGGCUGGGUUCCAGGAAAGACUGGAGGACUGUCUGGGAUUGCAGAGUAGUGAUGGACAAAGGAACCUCCACAUUGCUCCCACCCAGGACCACCAAAGCUCCAUUACAGGGAGCAGAAGUCACCGUCUCACUUUUCCCCCUCAACUUUACUAAGAUGCAAUGGACCAUCUCCAGCCCCUGGUAACCACCAUGUCUUCUUCCACGAGUUUGACUAUUUUAGAUUCCACAUGUGCAAGAGAUCAUACAGAAUCUGUUUUUCUGCAUCUGGCUUCAUUCACUUAACAUAAUGUCCUCCAUGUUUGUCAUGUUGUCACAAAUAGCAAGUCUUUA